RNAcentral lists this ribosomal RNA (397 nucleotides) under uncultured bacterium. RNAcentral describes it as "bacterial SSU rRNA". It matches the Rfam family "Bacterial small subunit ribosomal RNA", at positions 361 to 775 of the family's 1533-position model. The record is from RNAcentral.
AUAUUGGUCAAUGGGGGAAACCCUGAACCAGCAACGCCGCGUGAGGGAAGACGGUUUUCGGAUUGUAAACCUCUGUCCUCUUUGAAGAUAAUGACGGUAGCAGAGGAGGAAGCUCCGGCUAACUACGUGCCAGCAGCCGCGGUAAUACGUAGGGAGCGAGCGUUGUCCGGAUUUACUGGGUGUAAAGGGUGCGUAGGCGGCCCUGCAAGUCAGAAGUGAAAUCCAUGGGCUUAACCCGUGAACUGCUUUUGAAACUGCAGGACUUGAGUGGAGUAGAGGUAGGCGGAAUUCCCGGUGUAGCGGUGAAAUGCGUAGAGAUCGGGAGGAACACCAGUGGCGAAGGCGGCCUACUGGGCUUUAACUGACGCUGAAGCACGAAAGCGUGGGUAGCAAACAG